RNAcentral lists this ribosomal RNA (491 nucleotides) under uncultured bacterium. RNAcentral describes it as "partial 16S ribosomal RNA". It matches the Rfam family "Bacterial small subunit ribosomal RNA", at positions 29 to 507 of the family's 1533-position model. The record is from RNAcentral.
AGUGAACGCUGGCGGUAGGCCUAACACAUGCAAGUCGAACGGCAGCACAGUAAGAGCUUGCUCUUACGGGUGGCGAGUGGCGGACGGGUGAGGAAUAAACCGGAAUCUACUUUUUCGUGGGGGAUAACGUAGGGAAACUUACGCUAAUACCGCAUACGACCUACGGGUGAAAGCAGGGGAUCUUCGGACCUUGCGCGAUUGAAUGAGCCGAUGUCGGUUUAGCUAGUUGGCGGGGUAAAGGCCCACCAAGGCGACGAUCCGUAGCUGGUCUGAGAGGAUGAUCAGCCACACGGGAACUGAGACACGGUCCAGACUCCUACGGGAGGCAGCAGUGGGGAAUAUUGGACAAUGGGCGCAAGCCUGAUCCAGCAUACCGCGUGGGUGAAGAAGGCCUUCGGGUUGUAAAGCCCUUUUGUUGGGAAAGAAAAGCAGCAGGUUAAUACCCCGCUGUUCUGACGGUACCCAAAGAAUAAGCACCGGCUAACUUCGUG